RNAcentral lists this long non-coding RNA (559 nucleotides) under Physcomitrium patens. RNAcentral's name for it is "long non-coding RNA (PPAT_LNC002316)". Lineage: Eukaryota; Viridiplantae; Streptophyta; Bryopsida; Funariales; Funariaceae. The record is from RNAcentral.
AUUAGGAUAAAGGGAGGGGGCAUUUGGAGAUCGAGAUUUGAAGUCCGAGAACUAGAUUCAAGCUCCUUCCAAAGGUAUAAGACUUAAUUUCAUAGGAUUUGAGAGGACUUUGCAAUCGUUGUUCAAAGUCAGUGUUUUUAUUGGUGAAUUGGGUUUUUUUGCAAUAAAGUUAGGGCUAAUACUCUUGACUAUUUUGUGAAAUUGAAAAAGUAUCUGUAGUUGAAAUUUUAGAAAUAUCUAGAUGGUUGAAUAUGCCAAGCACAUGUAAAGUUUUGUGUUAAUCUAACAGUACAGAUAGACGAUAUUUGAUCAUUAGUGUAAAGAGGUAUCAGAAGUUGGCAGAUUAGGAUUGUUUAGGAUUUCUACAAUAUCUGGAGAUUUACUAGUUGGAAUAAGGUGAAUUUUUAAUGUGAUAAGUCAAGGACUUAAAGGCGGAGCUGUAUACAAAGUUUGAAUGAGAAUUGAUGGUUGAAAAAAGAAAAAUUGCAAUUCAAAGUUUGUCAUCAACUUUCUAGGCAACGGUCAAGGGACAUUAGUGUGGAUUUAUGGCAUUUUCUUA